AAAAAAAAAAAAAAUUAGAACAAAAACAAAAUUUACACUGGAAAGAUACUUCAGUCCCCGAUGCUUUCAACUUCUAAAUCCAAAAACCUCAUUUAAUAUUUUCUAUUCAUGAAGCCAUUGGUGUUCCACUUGCAGUCUGUUUAGCCACAUAAAUCUGCUUCAUCUUUGAAGAAGGAAAGCUCUUUUCUGCACCCAAAGAUUGAUUCCUUC
This 210-nucleotide unclassified non-coding RNA is filed under the name Hevea brasiliensis (rubber tree). Lineage: Eukaryota; Viridiplantae; Streptophyta; Magnoliopsida; Malpighiales; Euphorbiaceae. The record is from RNAcentral.